AGCCCCGAGGUGGUGUAUCACAUUGAAUUGCAAAUUCAAAGAAGCAGCUUCAACUCUGCCGGGGCUU
RNAcentral lists this transfer RNA (67 nucleotides) under Chiropotes albinasus. Its description in RNAcentral is "tRNA-Cys". It matches the Rfam family "tRNA". Rfam says of the family: Transfer RNA (tRNA) molecules are approximately 80 nucleotides in length. Their secondary structure includes four short double-helical elements and three loops (D, anti-codon, and T loops). Further hydrogen bonds mediate the characteristic L-shaped molecular structure. tRNAs have two regions of fundamental functional importance: the anti-codon, which is responsible for specific mRNA codon recognition, and the 3' end, to which the tRNAs corresponding amino acid is attached (by aminoacyl-tRNA synthetases). tRNAs cope with the degeneracy of the genetic code in two manners: having more than one tRNA (with a specific anti-codon) for a particular amino acid; and 'wobble' base-pairing, i.e. permitting non-standard base-pairing at the 3rd anti-codon position. The record is from RNAcentral. Lineage: Eukaryota; Metazoa; Chordata; Mammalia; Primates; Pitheciidae.